Molecule: microRNA precursor, 60 nt
Filed under: Drosophila virilis
Lineage: Eukaryota; Metazoa; Arthropoda; Insecta; Diptera; Drosophilidae
Description: microRNA dvi-mir-9705 precursor (dvi-mir-9705-1)
Source: miRBase by way of RNAcentral
UCUGAUCAGUUGUGUAGUGUGGCGUUUUACUGACUUGCUACGAUACCAACUGGCCAGAGG